GGGACGCAUCAAACACCAGCUCGAGCUGAGCUGCCUUUUUGCUGAGAGGCGACAGAAGCAGACACACCAGUCUGGAAUGUCAAGUGCGGAGAUGAGCGGCCUGGGAAGAGAAGCUUCAGGCCAGUGUCGAGUCCGCCAAAUGGAGUUGCAAACAGCUCCGAGUUCUGCGAGCAGAGGCUAGAGACAUAAAUCAAAGAGCGCUCUCCCAGUGCCGGCAGUGCGGGAACGACUGGCCGCUUGUCACGCUUCAGUGUCUUCAACCACAGCUCCACACGUGGAGAAUAGUUCUAGAAGGAUGGAAAAUGGGGCCGGGAAUACAGUUCAAAGCACUUGCCUUGCAUGCUCGAGGCCCAAGGUUCAAUUUCAAAUUCAAAGAAAGAAAAUGGAAGUUUUCCAUGUGAAGAACUACUCUUAUGAUGGAGAAACAGCUAUUUUUGUUGACCACAUCAACUUUAUAUCGACCCCCAUCUUGAUAAAAGAAGUGGUGAUUCAACAAAACUGAAGUGAAUGAAGCCAUUUCCACAUCACUUGGAGUGAAGAUUUAUUUAAGACCAACUAAACAAGUUACAUGGACCCCACUGCAAUGCCUUCUUUAAUCAAAGCUAUAACUGGACAGACAUCAGACUUUUUAAAAUUUAAAAAUAAUAAAAAAGUAAAAAUAGA
This is a long non-coding RNA of Myodes glareolus (Bank vole), 663 nucleotides long. RefSeq lists it as uncharacterized. The record is from RefSeq and is a predicted model, not a curated record. NCBI's taxonomy places the organism in Eukaryota, Metazoa, Chordata, Mammalia, Rodentia, Cricetidae.